UCGUGGAGGUCCGAACCCACGAGCGUUGAAAAGCUCGGGGAUGACUUGUGGGUAGCGGUGAAAUUCCAAUCGAGCCCGGAGAUAGCUGGUUCUCCCCGAAAUAGCUUUAGGGCUAGCCUCAAGGUGAGAGAUACGGAGGUAGAGCACUGAAUGUCCUAGGGGGUAUUGCACCUACCGAAGACUAUCAAACUCCGAAUGCCGUCAUCUUAUACUUGGGAGUCAGACUGUGGGUGAUAAGAUUCAUAGUCGAAAGGGCAACAGCCCAGAUCGUCAGCUAAGGUCCCUAAAUGUAAGUUAAGUGGUAAAGGAUGUGGGAUUGCACAGACAACCAGGAUGUUGGCUUAGAAGCAGCCACUCAUUCAAAGAGUGCGUAAUAGCUCACUGGUCGAGUGAUCCUGCGCCGAAGAUUUCCGGGGCUAAAACUUACUACCGAAGCUACGGCAUCAGUAAUGAGGGGUAGGGGAGCUUCCCAUACGGGUUGAAGCAUGACCGUAAGGACAUGGGGACAGUAUGGGAGUGAGAAUGUUGGCAUGAGUAGCGAGAUGUGGGUGAGAAUCCCACAGGCCGUAAACCCAAGGUUUCCAGGGGAAGGUUCGUCCGCCCUGGGUUAGUCGGGACCUAAGCUGAGGCCGAAAGGCGUAGGUGAUGGACAACAGGUUGAUAUUCCUGUACUACCGAUAACCGUUUGAGAGAAGGGAUGACACAGUAGGAUAAGCUAAGCACACUGUUGGUUAUGUGUGCCCAAGCAUUGAGGCAGUCAAAG
Molecule: ribosomal RNA, 763 nt
Filed under: Clostridioides difficile
Lineage: Bacteria; Bacillati; Bacillota; Clostridia; Peptostreptococcales; Peptostreptococcaceae
Description: bacterial LSU rRNA
Rfam family: Bacterial large subunit ribosomal RNA
Source: RNAcentral